CUCAAAAAAGACACUCAAGAAGGCAGAAUGUACUUCAGAACCAGAUUAUUCAGUGACUCUGUGUUAUUAAGGGACCAGGUUAUUUCUACUCUAAUGUACUUGGCAUUGUUUUCUUCUUCAAGGGUGUAUGAUGACAACUGGCAAAAAUCGAGGCUGCAUGCUUCCUUGCUCACAUUCCUGGAGUCAGGGAAGGGGGAGACCCUCUUUUCAUUCACGUAAGAAAAAUUCUGCAUCUGAAGUCUUGUCUAGCUACAGGACCAAUAACUAGUAUCAAGGAAAUGUCAUAAGCAACCACAUUAAGCCUGAGCUCAAGGAGCAAUCACUGGGGAGAAUGGAUGACCUCCAUCCUGAUGGACUAGACAAUGCCCACUCCUGGUGGACGAUGGGGUUAUUUUCCACUGUGACAUACAUGUUGCACAGAGAUGGGGUAUGUUAGGGUUUGAAUAUAAGGUCUUUCCCAAAAGUUCAUGUGUGACAUAAUGCAGGAAUGUUCAGAGGUGAAAUGACCAGAUUAUGAGGGCAACCAUUACCUAAUCAAUGGAUUAAUCCAUUUGAUGAAUUAAUAGUUUGAAAGGACCAUACUGAGUGGUAACCGUAGGCAGGUGGGGUGUGGCUGAAGAAUGUAGGUCAUUGGGGGUGUGCCCUUGGGAAAAUAUAUUUUGUCCCUGACUCUUCUGCGCUCUCUCUCUCUCUCUCUCUCUCUCUCUUUCUCUCUCUCUCUCUCCUUUCUGACUUCCAUGAGCUGAGAAGCUUUCCUCCACCACACCCUUCUGCCAUGAUGUUCUGCCUCACCUCGGGCCCAGAGCAAUGGAGUUGACUGACUAUGCACUGAAUCCUCUGAAACUGUGUGAGCCUAAAUAAACUUUCCUCCUCUAUGUUGUUUUCGUCAGUUAUUUUGGUAACAGAGAAGAAAAACUAACACAGGGUUGGAACUGGUGGAACAAAGAAGAAAAAAAAAUAGAGUCUGUUGGUCAAUAUUCUGUUAGUGUGACAAGAUACAUGAGACAAUUAACCAAAAGCAAAGAAAGGCUUAUUCUGCCUUAUGGUUCACAUGCUUCAGCCCAUGGUUGCUUGGGGUCUAUAAUGACAUAGCACAUCAUGGCAGGAGCAAGUGAUAGAGGAGGCUUGUUCACCUCAUGGUGGUUGAGAAGCCAAAAGAGAGACUGGAAAGGGCUAGGGUCCUGAUAUCCCUUUCAAGGACAUGUUACCAGUGACCUAACUUCCUUUCUCAAGACCCAACAUCCCGAUAUCACUGGGGCCUGGGGUCCAAGCCUUCACCACAUGGGCCUUUGGGGAACAUUGAAGAUCCAAACUAUAGCAUGAAGUGCCCACGAUGCUAAUGUCUACAAAAAAGCACUCGGGUGAUGAAGUUGAUUUAGGCUCUUACCUGAUGUCUACAGACCCCAGAAGCGGGCCAAGACCGGAUGGUCUUCCCCUGAGGAUCUGAGACCUGGUGCUAGAGGGUUUACAAGUUCUACAAACAAGAAGAAGUGGAAAUGGAACCAGAAAAUGGAAAGCAACAUGGAGAACUCCAGCUAUUAGAAGGAGCUGGUGCGUGGUGAGCAGCGCUAGGAACUGAGUAUAGGAGUGUGCCUCCCCUCCCAUCCUGUUAGCUUUUAGAGGGACACAGACAGGACUUGGGUCUGCUAUGGAACACUCCAGGAGCCCAUGGAAACUUAAGUAUUCAACCAGAAGAAAGCGAAGACUAUGUCCCAGG
This 1717-nucleotide long non-coding RNA is filed under the name Marmota monax (woodchuck). Lineage: Eukaryota; Metazoa; Chordata; Mammalia; Rodentia; Sciuridae. The record is from RNAcentral.